GACGAACGCUGGCGGCGUGCUUAACACAUGCAAGUCGAACGGGGCUUGCCCUUUGGGGUGGGUUUAGUGGCGAACGGGUGAGUAACACGUGGGUAAUCUGCCCUCAGCUCUGGGAUAACUCCGGGAAACCGGGGCUAAUACUGGAUAUGACUACUGGUGACAUCGCCUGGUGGUGGAAAGAUUUUUUGGCUGAGGAUGGGCCCGCGGCCUAUCAGCUUGUUGGUGGGGUAAGUGGCCUACCAAGGCUCGACGGGUAGCCGGCCUGAGAGGGCGACCGGCCACACUGGGACUGAGACACGGCCCAGACUCCUACGGGAGGCAGCAGUGGGGAAUAUUGCGCAAUGGGGCGGAAGCCUGACGCAGCGACGCCGCGUGAGGGAUGACGGCCUUCGGUUG
Molecule: ribosomal RNA, 396 nt
Filed under: uncultured bacterium
Lineage: Bacteria
Description: bacterial SSU rRNA
Rfam family: Bacterial small subunit ribosomal RNA
Source: RNAcentral